RNAcentral lists this transfer RNA (85 nucleotides) under Siccirubricoccus deserti. RNAcentral describes it as "tRNA-Gly". The record is from RNAcentral. Lineage: Bacteria; Pseudomonadati; Pseudomonadota; Alphaproteobacteria; Acetobacterales; Roseomonadaceae.
CCGCUGCCGGCCGAGCCGGCCGCGGUGGCGGCCUACCUCGCCGCAAUGGCGCCGCUCUACUCCCGCUCGGCGCUGGAGCGGCGGC